UACGUAGGGGGCAAGCGUUGUCCGGAAUUAUUGGGCGUAAGGCGCGUGUAGGCGGCUCGGUAAGUCUGCUGUGAAAGUCCAAGGCUCAACCUUGGAAAGCCGGUGGAUACUGUCGAGCUCGAGUCCGGAAGAGGCGAGUGGAAUUCCUGGUGUAGCAGUGAAAUGCGUAGAUAUCAGGAGGAAUACCGAUGGCGAAGGCAGGUCUCUGGGCUGACACUGACGCUCAUGCACGAAAGCGUGGGGAGCAAACAGG
Molecule: ribosomal RNA, 253 nt
Filed under: uncultured bacterium
Lineage: Bacteria
Description: partial 16S ribosomal RNA
Rfam family: Bacterial small subunit ribosomal RNA
Source: RNAcentral